GAUGAACGCUGGCGGCGUGCCUAAUACAUGCAAGUCGAGCGAACGGACGAGAAGCUUGCUUCUCUGAUUUUAGCGGCGGACGGGUGAGUAACACGUGGAUAACCUACCUAUAAGACUGGGAUAACUUCGGGAAACCGGAGCUAAUACCGGAUAAUAUUUUGAACCGCAUGGUUCAAAAGUGAAAGACGGUCUUGCUGUCACUUAUAGAUGGAUCCGCGCUGCAUUAGCUAGUUGGUAAGGUAACGGCUUACCAAGGCAACGAUGCAUAGCCGACCUGAGAGGGUGAUCGGCCACACUGGAACUGAGACACGGUCCAGACUCCUACGGGAGGCAGCAGUAGGGAAUCUUCCGCAAUGGGCGAAAGCCUGACGGAGCAACGCCGCGUGAGUGAUGAAGGUCUUCGGAUCGUAAAACUCUGUUAUUAGGGAAGAACAUAUGUGUAAGUAACUGUGCACAUCUUGACGGUACCUAAUCAGAAAGCCACGGCUAACUACGUG
RNAcentral lists this ribosomal RNA (497 nucleotides) under uncultured bacterium. Its description in RNAcentral is "partial 16S ribosomal RNA". It matches the Rfam family "Bacterial small subunit ribosomal RNA", at positions 28 to 507 of the family's 1533-position model. The record is from RNAcentral.